This 1038-nucleotide ribosomal RNA is filed under the name Bacillus amyloliquefaciens. RNAcentral describes it as "bacterial SSU rRNA". It matches the Rfam family "Bacterial small subunit ribosomal RNA", at positions 38 to 1066 of the family's 1533-position model. Lineage: Bacteria; Bacillati; Bacillota; Bacilli; Caryophanales; Bacillaceae. The record is from RNAcentral.
AGCAAUUGCGCUGCUAUAAUGCAAGUCGAGCGGACAGAUGGGAGCUUGCUCCCUGAUGUUAGCGGCGGACGGGUGAGUAACACGUGGGUAACCUGCCUGUAAGACUGGGAUAACUCCGGGAAACCGGGGCUAAUACCGGAUGGUUGUUUGAACCGCAUGGUUCAGACAUAAAAGGUGGCUUCGGCUACCACUUACAGAUGGACCCGCGGCGCAUUAGCUAGUUGGUGAGGUAACGGCUCACCAAGGCGACGAUGCGUAGCCGACCUGAGAGGGUGAUCGGCCACACUGGGACUGAGACACGGCCCAGACUCCUACGGGAGGCAGCAGUAGGGAAUCUUCCGCAAUGGACGAAAGUCUGACGGAGCAACGCCGCGUGAGUGAUGAAGGUUUUCGGAUCGUAAAGCUCUGUUGUUAGGGAAGAACAAGUGCCGUUCAAAUAGGGCGGCACCUUGACGGUACCUAACCAGAAAGCCACGGCUAACUACGUGCCAGCAGCCGCGGUAAUACGUAGGUGGCAAGCGUUGUCCGGAAUUAUUGGGCGUAAAGGGCUCGCAGGCGGUUUCUUAAGUCUGAUGUGAAAGCCCCCGGCUCAACCGGGGAGGGUCAUUGGAAACUGGGGAACUUGAGUGCAGAAGAGGAGAGUGGAAUUCCACGUGUAGCGGUGAAAUGCGUAGAGAUGUGGAGGAACACCAGUGGCGAAGGCGACUCUCUGGUCUGUAACUGACGCUGAGGAGCGAAAGCGUGGGGAGCGAACAGGAUUAGAUACCCUGGUAGUCCACGCCGUAAACGAUGAGUGCUAAGUGUUAGGGGGUUUCCGCCCCUUAGUGCUGCAGCUAACGCAUUAAGCACUCCGCCUGGGGAGUACGUCGCAAGACUGAAACUCAAAGGAAUUGACGGGGGCCCGCACAAGCGUGGAGCAUGUGGUUUAUUCGAGCAACGCGAGACCUUACCAGUCUUGACAUCUCUGACAUCCUAGAGAUAGGACGUCCCUUCGGGGCAGAGUGACAGGUGGUGCAUGGUUGUCGUCAGCCUCGUGUC